Microtus oregoni (creeping vole) is the source of this 2876-nucleotide long non-coding RNA. RefSeq lists it as uncharacterized. The record is from RefSeq and is a predicted model, not a curated record. The transcript has 2 exons. NCBI's taxonomy places the organism in Eukaryota, Metazoa, Chordata, Mammalia, Rodentia, Cricetidae.
GUUAGUGACAAGGAGGGCUGCCAUCUGGUCUUAGCAGCGGGGAGGAAGUGGCUAGUUCAGGGCUCAGAUGAGAGAGAUGGCAGAGCUAGAGGCAGACACUAGCAUGGGGGUGGGAGAAGGAAAAUUUACCAUUAAAGAGACUAGAUUUGGGGACAGUGGUUGUGUGGACGGCAGCUUCCAAAGCGCCUUCAACAAUCCACACAGGGGCAACAUCCUGCAAGACCAGACUGGCCCUGCCGUCUGUAGCAGUGGGGGAACCUGAUCUCCAGGAGGUCACAACUCUCACAGGGGCCUACAUGGACCCAGUGUUCUAGCUCUAGUGGCAGAGCAGGAGAUGUAGACAGGUGGACUCGGGCCCUUGAGGCCCUGGAUCUCCUGAAGAUAGGCGUGGGGGUCAGCUUUGAACUUGACAAUGGCAGCAGACCCUUUUUUUCCAGAUAGGGGUUGUGAACCCGCCUGGGGAUGAGGCCCGUCCUCUGGACCGUGGACUCAGCUUCACGGGGCUGAGAGUUCUGGCUCCGGGUGGUGGCAGUUUCCCUCUGGACUUUCCCUAGGUUCCCUGGCUCUCUCUUCUGUGAACUCCCUCCUUCCCUUCUCCCUCUAACUCUGAGGUUACAGGUUCCCUUAACCUUGUCUCUCGGUCAUCUGGUAAGCCUGGGGAAGGUAGUGAGUCGGUGUUGGCGACUUGGACUCGGUAUUUUGGUACUACUGGGGAAAGUGGAGGACACCCUGACUUGGGAGGGGAGGAUGGGAUCACAGCCAUGGUUUUGGUCACCCAAAUGAAUGCCUCACGGACGUGGUUUAUUACUGUAGUGUUCAUCAUGGCAAGCAGAUGGCACCAGGAGAAAUGGAACCCCUGCAGUGCAGGAGGGCAGACCCUGGAGGAGACAGCGACCUAAGCUGAUGCCCACAGUGAAUUCCAGAGCUUAGGAGUCCUGCACUGCCAUGUGUCCAGGCCUUACUCAGGAAGUCCUGUGUUUGGAAGGCCUUCAUCUUAAGUGGUUCAGCCUUUGGGGGUGGGGACAGGCAGACCCUUCCAGCUGGAGGGGCUGUCGCCUAUGAAUGUUCCGGAUGAAUGUCUUGUUCUGGGAGCAUCAUUCUCCGGAUGCGUGAAUGCCAGCCAGCACCCUCCUUCCUGGGGGUAGAGGCAUUUAGCUGCUGCAUCUUCUAAAUCAAGGCUCCAGUCUUUAAUUCUGUGCUACGAACUUGGCUUCGAGAAGAUUGCUUAAGGUGUAGAACACUUUUAACUUUGAUGCCCUCAACGCGUCCAGGUGCCUUGUAGAUGGUGUUUGCAGGAGGAGCCCGGUGACCCCGCCCACCUUCCCUGCUUCUGCAGCCUGUGAACCUCUGCAUUGGUCAGAGGCCUUCUUAAGUGUGAUAAACUUUGGGUAUUGGGGAAAGCUGUUCAAUUUCGAAUGGAAGAGUAUUAGCUGAUUAUUAAAACGAAUGGGGGUGUCGUGUUUAAAGAGUAUGGGAGGGUACAAGUUGGCUGCAAGUUCUGUUGGGAUAUGUAUAUGGCAUGUCUACUUUGGGCAUUGGGAUGGCAUCUGGGAAUAUAUUCUGUGGGUUUGGUUUUGGUACUGGGUGAUAAGCAGGUGCUACCUACUGAGUGGCAACUGUUAUUGCUCCUUUUCAUUUCUGACUUGGGGCCUGGCAGUCUACACCAGGCUGGCCUUGGCUCUCAACACCGCUGGGAUUAGGGGUGUCAUCUAAAACUUUCAGCCGAGCUUUUUAAAGUUUUACUGGAUCAGGCAGGCUUCAGAGGUGGGAUUGCUGGAGGGAGCAGGACUCAGCUUGGCAUUGGUGUCUUGGCCAGAAGCUUGGUGAGGGAUUGGGGUGCUAGCAAGGGAUGUGGCUUGAUGGGAGUGAUGACUGGGGAACCAUAGCUCACACUGAAAGUCGCUGGUAAAUCCUUACUGUGGGUGAAUUGAGGGGCAGUAACGGUUGCUUGGAAAAUAUCAGAAUCAGGAGGAAAAGCAAAAUUGAUUUGCUCUGCUGUUGAGUGGAAGAUGGUAUCAAACUCAAGAAUGCCCAAGCACAUGCCAGCCUGUGGAGAGGGUUUGUGAAUUCCUACAUUGUGGGCUCUUAAAGGCAUUGGCCUUUGUGCUGGAGGUUGACAGAUUCUGCUGGGUUUAUGAUUCAAAUCCUUUCAUACUGUGUGGUUAAAUUCUAAUGCUAUUAUAUCUAAAGGAUUUAAUUUGCAAGUCAUGCCUUAUACAACACUAAAGGAAUUUAAUUUGCAAGUCAUGCCUUAUACAACACUACAGGAAUUUAAUGUGCAAUCCAUGCCUUAUGAAACAUACUGAAUUUCUGGGAGUGGCCAGGAGACAACAGGUGUUGCUUACUUGACUAACAAAUCAGUCAUUGUGACAGGGAACAUGGGCUUGCACGUGCUGUGAAAUUACUGUGACAUUUGGUAGGAAAUUUGAUCUGCGUAUCUUUGCCAAGGCUGCGAUGAAAACAUGGUGUGUUUAGCUUGAAUGGUGUUCCCAGCCAUCCUGAGCAGAGGGGAAACUGUAACUGUCAAAUGAGUUUGGGGAAAUAAAGGUCAAACUGGGGGUUGCAAGGGACGUCUUACUUAGAUAAUGGUCUGUACACAUUGAAAACCUGGGUGUAAAGUGGCAGUGUGGCUUUUUGUGUUGUCUUUUCCCAAUCCUGUUACCUCGGGACUGUCUUCGGGUUGGUUAUUUGUGUGCUGCGUUUUAUUUGUGUUUUAAAGUCAUGGUGUGACCAGGGAAUGACACUGGGACAGCAGAGUGUUGGUCACCUUGGAAUGGGAAAUGGGGGAGCUGUAGCGGCGGUCACAGCACCUCUUUGUUCUAAUCAUCUUUCUCCUUUCCAGCAAAAUAAAGGUUUGAGAUUGAAACACCUUAGAA